Molecule: small RNA, 722 nt
Filed under: Pyricularia oryzae
Lineage: Eukaryota; Fungi; Ascomycota; Sordariomycetes; Magnaporthales; Pyriculariaceae
Description: Magnaporthe oryzae sRNA M_BR32_EuGene_00106221
Source: RNAcentral
AUUAACCAAAAUAACUAAAAAAAUCUAAACUUCCAAUGGACGGAGCAAAUAUAAUAAACUUUUAAACAAUUACGAAACGCAAUAGUACGAAAACUAAUUUUUAAAAUAUUAAAUUUAACGAAAUUUUUACAAAUUAAAACCGACGUAUUAAAUUAUGCGAUCGGGGGAUAAUUUAACCAGCGAAACGAAAAAAAACAAUUGCAUUUUUGCGCCUUUUUUUUAUAAAAAUUAUAUAAACCAAAAUUUAAUUACCAAAUCCACGAUAAAAAAUUUAUAAUUAUUAUCCGAACAUUUGAAAAAUAAAAAUUACAAUUAUCCGGAAUUAAAUACGAAAUGUUAAUUUAUACGAAUUAUAAGAAUUUAACCCAUUUUACUAUUAAUAAAAUAUUAAACAAACGAUAAAUUAAAUAAUUAAAAUUUUUAUUAAAAUUCCAUUUUAGGAUUAUUUACCGGAAAAAAACAGAAAACGGCAGGGCCGACGCCUUUAGCCGGAAAUUAAAUUACGAAAAUAUAAUACUAAAGGAAACGCGGGUUAUUUUUAUAAUAAACGAAAACGGAAAUUUUUUAUUAGCGCACCGAAAUUUAAUAAUAAUAAAUACGGUAAUUACGCCAAAAAAAAUACGAAAGAUUUACGGAAAUAAAACUUACGGAUACCAAGGAAUUUCUAAAAUAUAAAAACGGUUAAAAUAAUAUUAUAAUUUCCGAGGAAUAUAACAAAAAAU